Molecule: ribosomal RNA, 480 nt
Filed under: uncultured bacterium
Lineage: Bacteria
Description: bacterial SSU rRNA
Rfam family: Bacterial small subunit ribosomal RNA
Source: RNAcentral
GACGAACGCUGGCGGUAUGCUUAACACAUGCAAGUCGAACGAGAAGUCUUUUAUUGACCCUUCGGGGGAUAUAAGAGAUAGACAGUGGCGAACGGGUGAGUAACGCGUGGGCAACCUACCUAUCGGAGCGGGAUAGCCUCGAGAAAUCGGGAGUAAAACCGCAUAACACGGAUAUAUCGCAUGAUGAAUCCGUCAAAACUCCGGUGCCGAUAGAUGGGCCCGCGUCUGAUUAGCUAGUUGGUAAGGUAAGGGCUUACCAAGGCAACGAUCAGUAGCCGGUCUGGGAGGGCGAACGGCCACACUGGAACUGAGACACGGUCCAGACUCCUACGGGAGGCAGCAGUGGGGAAUAUUGCGCAAUGGGGGCAACCCUGACGCAGCAAUACCGCGUGAGUGAAGAAGGUUUUCGGAUCGUAAAGCUCUGUUAUUGGGGAAGAAGCAGUGACGGUACCCAAUGAGGAAGUCCCGGCUAACUACGUG